Molecule: long non-coding RNA, 884 nt
Filed under: Salmo salar (Atlantic salmon)
Lineage: Eukaryota; Metazoa; Chordata; Actinopteri; Salmoniformes; Salmonidae
Description: lncRNA (ENSSSAG00000082601.1)
Source: RNAcentral
CUUGGAAAUCCGUGUCUUUGAGCAUCAUAAAGAAGUUGUGCAUCUGCUAAAAUCGGUUUCCAAUUGAACAUACUUCUUUCUGAAAUAAAUAUUAUAGUUUGAUUACAUUUUAGGGUGUCUGAGGAGUAAACAGAAACAUAUUUUGACUUGUUGAAAAAAAGUUUAGGGCUAGAUUUUCGGAUUCCUUUCUCUGCAAGUCGAACGAGUGGAUUACUCAAAUCGAUGGCACCAACGAAACAGACUUUUUGGGAUAUAAAGAAGGAUUUUAUCUAACAAAACGACACUACAUGUUGUAGCUGGGACCCUUUGGAUGACAAAUCAGAGGAAGAUUUUCAAAAACUUCCUUCACACACCAGAACUACACCAAGUGAAGAGAUGAAUACUUCAACUCCAGCUACCAACUCUUCCCUUCCUGAAGAUCUACUGGCUGUCUACUUUUCCCAAAUCAAAUCAAUCAGCACUGCUUCCUUUGCAAUCAACAUCAUCCUGGGUCUCCCCACUAAUGUCUACAUUCAAUGGCUAAUAGUGACUGAAGCGGGGACUGAAGCGGUCCUCUUCUGCGUGUCUGCUAUCUUUUAUUUCAUCAGUCUACACGACCCCUCAAUCGUUGUAUUGUACUUCAUGUUAUUUUCUUAUUGUUUUCUUUUCACCAGUCGUCCCCUGUUUCAAAGCUGUAUCUGUGUAGAGCGCUACCUGGCGGUGGUCCACCCUGUGGUCUACCUGAAGUACAAACCCCUGAGAUACAGGGUGGGGUGUUGUGGUGUUGUCUGGCUGAUGGUGCUUGGGUCCUGUCUGUUCUUUAUGCUGGUGAAUGAAAGAUCUGUUGUAUUUUAUGUUUACUGGGGAGAGGUUCUGAUGUUGUUUUUGUUAAAGCUGUUCUGCUG